This is a non-coding RNA of Pantherophis guttatus, 1862 nucleotides long. NCBI's taxonomy places the organism in Eukaryota, Metazoa, Chordata, Lepidosauria, Squamata, Colubridae. The record is from RefSeq and is a predicted model, not a curated record.
AGAACGCACACACUACCUUUCAGGCUUUGUUCAAGCAAGCCGCGAGGUUCUUGCUAUUUUCUCCAAAAACAUAGGGAUGGAAGAAAGAACACGCACGCGCCAAACAACGCCCGCGUGUACUAGAAAUAACAAGAGAUAACCGCUCCCUCCCCCACGGCGCGUACGUUGUACCUCCUGCUAGACGAUUGGUGAGGAAGAAGGGCUUCGUGAGGGAGAUUCGACUGUUGACCGGAGCUGACGGGAUUUGAAGGAGGGGGAACGAUUGCUUGGUGCAUAUCGUAUUUCCUGUGUAUCACAAUUGGCACUGAACAGGGACCUGAGAACCUUUCGUCUGGUGAGCAAAUAAAUCUAAAAAAGCGCACAAAACACUGUUUUGGUGUAAGGUUUGUUUUCUUGCCGGACGGGAGCAGCUUUUCUAAAAGCCCUGAGACGGAGACUUGGACGUUGAGACAGGAGACAAGAGGAACGUUCCGGGGGACUGCACUGGGAGUGAGUAAAAAGGACAGACUCCACCUCUUGAUUUCCAAAUCCAUGAAUACAAAAGCGGAGACUGGGUCCUGAUCAAAGCACUUAAGGAGAAAAAGUUGCAGCCGGUGUGGGAAGGACCGUCCCAAGUUCUGCUAACUACAGGGUCGGCUGUAAGGACUAAGGAACAAGGCUGGGUAUGCUAUUCUAGAGUGAAAGGACCGGAUGGACGGUUGCUGCGAAAUCUACAGAUCCUCUUAAAUUGACCUUUCGUCGACAACCCUUAGACGAUUGAUGACCAACGGAUGGAAGAAGAGUUUUGUGAAGAAUUUUGUAUUUGGCUAGGAGUGAUAUUAAUUUUUGUUGUAUUUUUGAUUAUAUUAAGAAAAGAUAUAAUUGACUGGUGUAAAUCUAUGCUUUGGUAUCCAGUGGAUGUAGGUUCACUUUGACAGUCUGAUACUUUGGUGGUAAGAUAAUAAUAUUUUAUCUUUUUGGAAGCUAUAUUGGAGAGGGGAAUUAGUCCACUAGGAAGAUGGGGUAUAUGGUGUUUCUGUUUAUUCUAUUGAAGGUGCAGAUAGGGAUGGAAAAAGAGAUGUUGGAUGUGUUACAAGAUUAUCCAAUAACAUGGCAGCAGUUAUGUUUCCAUACUGAACUCGAGCACCGAUAUUCUUUAAUAGAGACACUGACCUUGAUAGAGGGUGCUGAAGAAGCUGAUAUAUGUAUAAAAUCAUCUUUUGUAGAUGGUAUACCAUUGGGCAGAUAUGCCAGAUGUAAUAAUAGAUAUGACAUAACCCCUAAAUACACUGAUUUAUUAGAUAGAAUGGAGUUUUUAUAUAAUCAAUGUACUGAUUUAUAUGGUAAUCAUACUCCUUCAUAUAAAAUAUUCCGUAUUUUGGAGGAAGGAUUACGCUUUCCAUAUUUUGAAAUAAAAGCCCCUUUGAAGUUAAUGUUUCUAUGUGGAAAUUUGGCUUUGCCUAAAUUGCCUUAUUUCUGGAAGGGAAGAUGUGCUGUUGGUUAUCUUAAGGCACCUUUAUGAUAUACCAGAAGUAUUGCUGAACGGAGAACGAGAGAAGGCAAUAUAUUUCUGGAUUUAAUGAAGGUAGCUUUAAACAGUACUUCCUUUUGUAUCAGGGGUGAGACAACUGUCUCUGAUAUAAUGGCUACAUGUUUUGUGGGGGUGCCAGUACCGGGAAAGUUUUUAUUUGAAGAAGCAAAUAUCAUAAUAGAACCAAAUAAUUUCAAUUUGUCACAUGUUAUAAUAUUAUUUGGGAGUCCAAAAUACAGCUUUUAGAGAAGUUUGGGAUAUAUUAACCUCAUGGUUACCUAACUUUGCAUGGUUAAGGGAAUUGUUUGUAGGCAUAUUAUUGAUUAUAGUUAUAUGUCUUAUUUCUUGUCUU